RNAcentral lists this ribosomal RNA (943 nucleotides) under Bovista plumbea. RNAcentral's name for it is "LSU rRNA". It matches the Rfam family "Eukaryotic large subunit ribosomal RNA", at positions 38 to 963 of the family's 3401-position model. The record is from RNAcentral. Lineage: Eukaryota; Fungi; Basidiomycota; Agaricomycetes; Agaricales; Lycoperdaceae.
GCAUAUCUAUUAAGCGGAGGGACAAAGAAACUAACAAGGAUUUCCCCUAGUAACUGCGAGUGAAGCGGGAAAAGCUCAAAUUUAAAAUCUGGCGGUCUCUGGCCGUCCGAGUUGUAAUCUAGAGAAGUGAUGCCCGCGCUGGACCGUGUACAAGUCUCCUGGAAUGGAGCGUCAUAGAGGGUGAGAAUCCCGUCUCUGACACGGACUACCAGGGCUUUGUGGUAUGCUCUCAAAGAGUCGAGUUGUUUGGGAAUGCAGCUCUAAAUGGGUGGUAAAUUCCAUCUAAAGCUAAAUAUUGGCGAGAGACCGAUAGCGAACAAGUACCGUGAGGGAAAGAUGAAAAGAACUUUGGAAAGAGAGUUAAACAGUACGUGAAAUUGCUGAAAGGGAAACGCUUGAAGUCAGUCGCGUUGGCCGGGAAUCAGCCUCACUUUUGUGUGGUGUACUUUCUGGUUGACGGGUCAGCAUCAAUUUUGACCGCUGGAAAAAGGCUUGGGGAAUGUGGCAGCUUCGGCUGUGUUAUAGCCCUUUGUCACAUACAGCGAUUGGGAUUGAGGAACUCAGCACGCCGCAAGGCCGGGUUUCGACCACGUUCGUGCUUAGGAUGCUGGCAUAAUGGCUUUAAGCGACCCGUCUUGAAACACGGACCAAGGAGUCUAACAUGCCUGCGAGUGUUUGGGUGGUAAACCCGAGCGCGUAAUGAAAGUGAAAGUUGAGAUCCCUGUCGUGGGGAGCAUCGACGCCCGGACCUGAACUUUUGUGACGGAUCCGCGGUAGAGCAUGUAUGUUGGGACCCGAAAGAUGGUGAACUAUGCCUGAAUAGGGGUGAAGCCAGAGGAAACUCUGGUGGAGGCUCGUAGCGAUUCUGACGUGCAAAUCGAUCGUCAAAUUUGGGUAUCGGGGCGAAAGACUAAUCGAACCAUCUAGUAGCUGGCUCUGCGAG